UGGAGUUUAGACAGAAUGCCAACAAUCACUGUUCAGUUGCUGUGGUUUUAUACUCCUUAGAUGAUCUGAAAAUCCCAUAGGCCUUCCAGGGCUACCCUGACACUUCCUCCGGGGAACAAGCUUUCGGGACCAUCUGAGGCUGACCUUUAGUUGGCCAAAGGGCACUAUUUCCUGUUCCUGGCCAGAGCAGUAGGGCCAAAAGAAUCAUGGUUUCCUGCUUCCUGAUGAAAGGACCAUGUGAAGUAUGGAGGGAACAGGUUCUGAUGAUGAAACCUGGGAGUCUGCACUGGAUAUGGGGAUCCCACUGGAGUCUUCAACUAUACCACAAGAGGAGACAUGAUCGUCUGCUAGCAGCCUCAAGGAAGCUAUUUCCACAUGUUCACACAACUGGGUAUAGUGUGGAGCCUGUGUGCAUGGGAACUGAGGACAAUAGACAGAACUGAAGAGUUCCAUGUUAAGCAGACAAUCUUACAGACAGGAUAUCUCCAGCCAGCAACCAGCAAUCCACUAACCAGAAAUCCAGCCACAGCCACAGCAGGAGCAGCAGCAGCAGGAGGAGCAGCAAGAGAAGGAGCAGCAGCAGGAGGAGGAGCAGCAGGAGCAGCAGGAGAAGCAGGAGAAGCAGCAGGAGGAGUAGCAGCAGCAGGAGCAGCAGGAGCAGCAGGAGAAGCAGCAGGAGCAGGAGAAGCAGCAGGAGGAGCAACAGCAGCAGGAAGAGUAGCAGCAGCAGCAACAGGAACAGCAG
Molecule: long non-coding RNA, 745 nt
Filed under: Mus musculus (house mouse)
Lineage: Eukaryota; Metazoa; Chordata; Mammalia; Rodentia; Muridae
Description: RIKEN cDNA 4930447J18 gene
Source: RNAcentral